RNAcentral lists this ribosomal RNA (408 nucleotides) under uncultured microorganism. RNAcentral's name for it is "bacterial SSU rRNA". It matches the Rfam family "Bacterial small subunit ribosomal RNA", at positions 509 to 917 of the family's 1533-position model. The record is from RNAcentral.
CAGCCGCCGCGGUAAUACGUAGGGUGCAAGCGUUAAUCGGAAUUACUGGGCGUAAAGCGUGCGCAGGCGGUUAUGUAAGACAGAGGUGAAAUCCCCGGGCUCAACCUGGGAACUGCCUUUGUGACUGCAUAGCUAGAGUACGGUAGAGGGGGAUGGAAUUCCGCGUGUAGCAGUGAAAUGCGUAGAUAUGCGGAGGAACACCGAUGGCGAAGGCAAUCCCCUGGACCUGUACUGACGCUCAUGCACGAAAGCGUGGGGAGCAAACAGGAUUAGAUACCCUGGUAGUCCACGCCCUAAACGAUGUCAACUGGUUGUUGGGUCUUCACUGACUCAGUAACGAAGCUAACGCGUGAAGUUGACCGCCUGGGGAGUACGGCCGCAAGGUUGAAGCUUAAAGGAAUUGGCGGG